Zonotrichia albicollis (white-throated sparrow) is the source of this 1580-nucleotide long non-coding RNA. Lineage: Eukaryota; Metazoa; Chordata; Aves; Passeriformes; Passerellidae. The record is from Ensembl.
CUGAAAACUCUAAUCUCCUAAGAAUCCCAGAUUAGAUACAGUAAUAUGAUAGGGGAGAGAGAAAGCAUCCAGGAAUGGAUUUUCUUCAGUGUUUUGGAGCUUUGGAAUUCAGUUACAAAUGCUGCAGCAAGAAAGUGGGGAACUGCGAAGUUCAAGCGCCUUAAUGAAAUUUCAGCUAAAGCAUUUCAGGCUCUGCUGAGACCCUGCAAAGCCAGAGGUUCUGCAAGCAAGCCUGUGGAGCCAGGCUCGUUCAGCCAUGGAUGCCUCCAGAAGCUGCUGCACUGACUGGCAGACAAGGCACAGUGACAAACAGCAGUGACGGCACAGCACAGGCACAGUGACAAACAGCAGUGAUGGCACAGCACAGGCACAGUGACAAACAGCAGUGAUGGCACAGCAAAGCACAGUGACAAACAGCAGUGAUGGCACAGCACAGGCACAGUGACAAACAGCAGUGAUGGCACAGCACAGGCACAGUGACAAACAGCAGUGACAGCACAGCAAAGCACAGUGACAAACAGCAGUGAUGGCACAAGUGGGUGACAUCACCCGAUUUUGACCUCCAGUCCUGUGAUUUGGUCACAGGUCAGGCUAUCCUUUUAUUGACCGUGCAAGCAUCUAUAGAGCUCCUCAGCAGUACAGACUAAUGGAAGUGGAUGUCUGUGCUUGCACUUGUGGCUACAGAGGUUGUUACUUUGUUCAUCAGAAGAGCCCUGUAAACACAGUCCUACAAGUCACUGAUGUGUUCUUCAUUUUAAGUAAGCUCACAGUAAUGCUACACGUGUGUGUGGCAAGAAUGAAGGAGCCUAGAGUGAGUAGAUUAGCUUUUAGAUUUAUUUGUUUUGUUAUCCUAAAACUAGAUAAUUAGAAAAGGAAAUAAGCAGGUUCUCAAUAGAUUUGUAUGGUUCACACCUGUUAUUAGAAGCAGCAUUAUCUCAGUGGAGAACUCCCCUGCUCUUUGAAGUUCAAAUGAAAAAUCUCUCACAAGCUCUGGUGUGUCUGCUUCUCUGCUGAUGCAUUAGAAACAAAGUGCCAAAAUGAACUGACAGCUUCUCAUUUCUUUCCCCAAUUAACAAUCACAGCAGCUGCUUGCUGGUAGAAUAAUAAGCUUCCUUCUUAUUUUUUAUCUCAUUUAAGCAAAAUGUUAUUCUGGUUUGAUGCAAAAUUCUGUGCUUUUUUUUUUCUUAUGACACUACACUUGCUGCAGUCAAGAGCUGGUUUUGUGUUCUUAUUUUAGCUGAGGCAGUACAGCAAAUAGAUAAUUUGAUACCUCAGUGCUGACACACAAAUUAAAUACUAGGUGUCAAGAAAUCUUCCCUUUUCAUGUGUCAUUAGCUUUUCACUGCAAAAAAAAAAAAGGAUCAAGACAAAAUGAUCACAAAAUAUUUCUUGUAUUUUUGUAUAAUUUAACCUAGACCAGAAGCCAAGUUUUAUCACUCACCUUCAGCUCACAGUUACAUUAAUUACAUUAAUUACUGUGCUCUUUCUUCAGCAAAUUCAGUGUUUGACACAUUCUUAAAUUUAGUAGUAAUCAAUGUAGCUCAAAAUCUUCCUAGAAUAAAACCUUUAUGUGGACUGCA